AUUGUCUUGAUAUGAGAAGCUUGCUCAAAUAGCAGGCUUGGCUUGCUCAAACAAGCCUGCUGUGCUUGUUUGGAAGAACUAACCCAUCAACCAGCAGAGAAGCUUGUACUUCUGAAGUGGUCUUAAGGGGCUCACACUUAACCAUUCACCAUAACUGGUGAGAAACAGUUGUUCAUAGUGUAUGCAGACGGCCCAGAAGGAUGACAACUUCUGUCAUGUUCAACACUUCUGAGAAUAUUGAGCUUUUUGUAAAGGAGGAAAUAAAGAUUGAGGCUACUUCACCAGAGCCUGAGUGGCCCCCGCCAUCACCCGCAUCUGAAGAAUGUGCUUCGUCGGACCAUGCUGGGCAGUUUAUCAAACUGGAGAGGAAUGCACAGAGCCGGUCGCCAUCACCAACAGUUGACUUCAAUGGGUUCACAGACUUUGAUCGAGACAGUGCUCACUACAUUGCCGAUACAAAGAUUGACAGCCUAUUGGGAUGCCUGCCAGAUCUACAAGAUACAUCAGAUGCACAUCCCGACGGAAAGGUUCCUAAGAGUCGCCGCAUGGUGAUAAACUACAGAGAGGUGGAUGGUCUGAACGACAACAGCAUGUUCUGUGAGCUGUGCUGCUGUGAUUGGGACGGAGAUUGUCCUGUCCAUGGUCCGCUGAAGGUCAUACAAGACACUAAGGUACCACCGGGAGUCGGGGACCGGAAGAGGGACGUCAAAACUCUGCCGCAUUUCCUCAGCACUGGCCAGUCGAAAAUAUCAGAAUCCAGCACCGGAGUGUGGGCAGAUAAGGAUAUUCCGGCGCGCCACAGACUCGGUCCCUACGAGGGCACCCUAAGUACCGACCGACGACAAGUCCGAACCACCGGGUACAGGUGGAAGAUCAAGAAGGGUGACCGUGUUCAUCACUCGGUGAAUGCCGAGGACCCGAGCUGCAGCAACUGGCUCAGAAGGGUCAACUGUGCCCGCUCGGAGGAAGAAGCGAAUCUGAUUCCCUUCCAGCACAGGGGCCUGAUAUACUUCAGGACAUCAAAGCCCAUCCCGAAAGGGUCAGAGCUGCUGGUGUACUACGGAGACGACUCGGCCCCCCGGGAGCUGACCGUCCACUCGGAGACGUCUGGGGAGGCUGUGACUUCCUCUCCGGCCGGACCGUCAUCUUCAGGUAUCGGAGGCUCGGUCUGCUGUCCCCACUGCGACUACGCCUGUUCGGGACAAGAUCACCUCGGCAGUCACGUGAAGAAAUAUCACAGCAACAUCGGCAGGAACGGCAGACUCAAGUGUGAGUGGUGUCCGUACUCCACCGAUAUAUCCGCCCAUAUGGCAAACCACCAAAGGACCCACACCGGGGAGCGGCCAUAUAAGUGCAACUCCUGUCCGGCACGGUUUACUCAGCAGUCCAGUCUCCAACGACACGUGAAGAUUCAUGCAGAGGAGAGACCGUACGGCUGCCCCUCCUGCCCAGCACGGUUUAAGACCAAAACAGAUCUCUCGCGUCACAUGCAGACACACACGGGGGAGAGACCGUACGGCUGCCCCUCCUGUCCAGCACGGUUUAAUGACCGAUCAAAUCUCUCGCGUCACAUGCGGACCCACACGGGAGAACGGCCUUAUUGUUGUACCUCUUGUGCGUCACGGUUUAGUGACCGAUCACAUCUUAUUCGACACUUAAGAACCCAUACGGGGGAGAGACCAUAUGGAUGCUCCUCCUGCAUAGCACGCUUUAAUCGCCGAUCACAUCUCAUUCAACACACGCGGACCCACACGGGGGAGCGGUCAUAUGCGUGUAGCUCAUGUGCGGCACGGUUCAGUGAACGAUCUAAUCUCAUUCGACACAUUCGGACCCACACGGGAGAGCGGGCGUAGAACUGACAUUCUUGUCUGGCACGCUUCAUUAUAGCAUUAUACUUGACAUUCGCGUCACCUGCAGACCAUUACACACUCGCAUGUCUGCCAGUACAGGUGCGAUCAAUGUGACAGGGGUAUUGUUAGACGCACCAAGUUGUGUAGACAUGUUUAGCAAGUUUAGCAAUUUAGCAGAAUGUUUACAGGUUUAGCAAGUUGAGCAGGAUGCUGAUGAUCGUUUGAUGUUUAUAGUUUCAAUACCUAUAUUUAAUCGGUGUUUUUAGGAAGGAGAGGGCAAAAUAUGAACAAAUCGUUUUAAUUCUUAUAUAAAGCGAAACUGUUUUCACAUGACUGAAAUCUCCUAUCCAGCUCGACGAUUUUUGGUGUUCUUCCCACGAUGUUGCUCUUGCUUACGUGAUUGACGCUUUUUAUGUAUUUUAUCUGGUUAGAAUCAAUGUCGUGUGCGACGGUCGCAUUCAAUUGUGAAAUCCAUACUGUGGUAAAAUUCAUAUACCCUGGUUGCUGACGGGUCGAUGCAUCGCGAUGUAAACUGGACCGAUCGUUUAAUCUAUUGGACGGGUAUUUUCUUUGUAUGUGCGAUGAAUACAUGUAAAUAGAGUG
This 2453-nucleotide unclassified non-coding RNA is filed under the name Amphibalanus amphitrite. RNAcentral describes it as "zinc finger protein 345-like, transcript variant X9". The record is from RNAcentral. Lineage: Eukaryota; Metazoa; Arthropoda; Thecostraca; Balanomorpha; Balanidae.